Molecule: ribosomal RNA, 395 nt
Filed under: uncultured bacterium
Lineage: Bacteria
Description: bacterial SSU rRNA
Rfam family: Bacterial small subunit ribosomal RNA
Source: RNAcentral
GUGUCAGCCGCCGCGGUAAUACGUAGGUGGCAAGCGUUGUCCGGAUUUAUUGGGCGUAAAGCGCGCGCAGGCGGUUCGUUAAGUCCGAGGUGAAAUCUCCCGGCUCAACUGGGAGGGGUCUUCGGAUACUGGCGGACUCGAGGAGUACAGAGGUGAGUGGAAUUCUGGGUGUAGUGGUGAAAUGCGUAGAUAUCCAGAGGAACACCAGCGGCGAAGGCGGCUCACUGGGUACCACCUGACGCUGAGGCGCGAAAGCGUGGGGAGCGAACCGGAUUAGAUACCCGGGUAGUCCACGCCGUAAACGAUGGGCACUAGGUGUGAGGGGUAUUGACCCCCUUCGUGCCGAAGCUAACGCAAUAAGUGCCCCGCCUGGGGAGUACGGCCGCAAGGCUAAA